CACUUGUUAGAUCCACUUCAAUCAGUGUAGAUGAAGGGAAGGAGACAGGUUAAAGAAGGAUUUUUAAGCCUUGAAACAAUUGAAACAUGGAUUGUACUACAGCAUUGAAACCUGCAGGGGAACCACAUCUCAGUAGUACCAGAGGUGUUACCAAGGAACCUGCAACAGAAGGGGUAUUUGCAACACCAGCAGGUGUCUCUCAAACAAAAUUGUGAUGAACAGGACUUCAGGAAUCCCCCUGUCUCUGAGGGGUAGGAGACUGAAUACAUUAAUGGAUGUGUGGUCAAUCCAAAAAACGAUUCCCCCACUCACAUAUUCCUUGACACUGGGGCUGAGGACAGAGAGGAAUUGUAUGGAGUAUACGGUUUGCCACCACCAGAGCUUUGUUUCCUCAAUGUGGCUGACAAUAAGAUUGUCGAGGAAGAAGCAGUGUCUGUAGCUGUGUUCGUCCUAUGCUCAGUGAGAUUGUUAUUCACUCCAACCCACUGACCACACAGAAGUGGUGCCCCCCUACUGCUGACUUACUUCCUCCAGGAAAGGCUGGGUAUUAGAAUUAGGUGCAAGAAGACAUCAGGGGCUGGUUUCCAAGACACAGAUUAAGCCUUGACUAAAACACAUCCUCAAUAGAGAAUCUCCAUUGAAAGUCCUUUUUAGUCCAGGACUAGGCUUUAUCUGUGUCUAGGAAACUGGCGCCAGAAGUUGUGAAACCCCCUUUGAUAUUAUGUAUUGACUCAAAACGAAAGGUUCAAAUGCAAUUUUUGUAAUAAUAAAAAAAAAUGUAUCCACAUUUUGGCUUUGCAUUCAACUGGAAAGUUAAAUAUGACUGCACAUUAUUUUAAUUUCAGUAUUUUUCAAACACGCUACAUUUUGGUCUAACAGUGACUCACUUUUCAUAUUGAAACUAAUUGAUGAACAUUUUAUCUUUCUCUUUAG
RNAcentral lists this long non-coding RNA (933 nucleotides) under Salmo salar (Atlantic salmon). RNAcentral's name for it is "lncRNA (ENSSSAG00000005298.2)". The record is from RNAcentral. Lineage: Eukaryota; Metazoa; Chordata; Actinopteri; Salmoniformes; Salmonidae.